Molecule: ribosomal RNA, 301 nt
Filed under: uncultured bacterium
Lineage: Bacteria
Description: partial 16S ribosomal RNA
Rfam family: Bacterial small subunit ribosomal RNA
Source: RNAcentral
CAGCAGCCGCGGUAAAACAGAGGGUGCGAGCGUUAAUCGGAUUUACUGGGAGUAAAGCGUGCGUAGGCGGCUUCUUAAGUCGGAUGUGAAAUCCCUGAGCUUAACUUAGGAAUUGCAUUCGAUACUGGGAAGCUAGAGUAUGGGAGAGGAUGGUAGAAUUCCAGGUGUAGCGGUGAAAUGCGUAGAGAUCUGGAGGAAUACCGAUGGCGAAGGCAGCCAUCUGGCCUAAUACUGACGCUGAGGUACGAAAGCAUGGGGAGCAAACAGGAUUAGAUACCCGCGUAGUCCCUGUCUCUUAUAC